AGAUGGCUUAAAGGGGUGCGAGAGCUUCUUUCUUGUAUCCGCUCCACGAUGGGACUGCGGCCGAUCAGGCUGUUGGUGGGGUAAUGGCCCACCAAACCUGUAACCGGUACGGGCCUUGAGAGAGGGGGCCCGGAGAUGGACACUGAGAGAAGGGUCCAGGUCCUACGGGGCGCAGCAGGCGCGAAACCUUCGCAAUGCGCGAAAGCGUGACGAGGUUAAUCCGAGUGGUCCCCGCUGAGGGGAUCUUUUGUCGGCUGUAAAAAGGCCGGUGAAUAAGGGGAGGGCAAGUCUGGUGUCAGCCGCCGCGGUAAUACCAGCUCCUCGAGUGGUCGGGGCGAUUAUUGGGCCUAAAGCAUCCGUAGCCUGUUCUGUAGGUCCUCUGUCAAAUCCAACGGCUUAACCGUUGGCCCGCAUAGGAUACCGCAUGACUAGGAGGCGGGAGAGGUGGACGGUACUCCACGUGUAUGGGUAAAAUCCUUUGAUCCGUGGAAGA
Molecule: ribosomal RNA, 493 nt
Filed under: uncultured archaeon
Lineage: Archaea
Description: bacterial SSU rRNA
Rfam family: Archaeal small subunit ribosomal RNA
Source: RNAcentral